GUCGCAUCGGUUAACGUGAAUCCCGAGGGUGAUACUAAUUGCAGGAAUCUGGGGAAGGAGUUUGUAAUUGAGAAAAAAAUAUGUGCGAGUAAAAUCUAUUUUAUUACGACCACCGGCGUGUAUUUAACAAGUUCGCUACCGCCAUUUAAGGAAGAAUUAAAAAUAAUUUCACCUAAUGUUGCAAACGUCUUUACAUUACACAGAAAUCACCUACAGCCGAUACGACAUUCCACGAUUAUUCGUCAAAGAUAUCUUGCCC
Molecule: unclassified non-coding RNA, 259 nt
Filed under: Bombus terrestris (buff-tailed bumblebee)
Lineage: Eukaryota; Metazoa; Arthropoda; Insecta; Hymenoptera; Apidae
Description: misc RNA ENSBTSG00005039241.1
Source: RNAcentral